RNAcentral lists this ribosomal RNA (872 nucleotides) under Aspergillus unguis. Its description in RNAcentral is "LSU rRNA". It matches the Rfam family "Eukaryotic large subunit ribosomal RNA", at positions 74 to 962 of the family's 3401-position model. The record is from RNAcentral. Lineage: Eukaryota; Fungi; Ascomycota; Eurotiomycetes; Eurotiales; Aspergillaceae.
AUUGCCUCAGUAACGGCGAGUGAAGCGGCAAGAGCUCAAAUUUGAAAUCUGGCCCCUCCGGGGUCCGAGUUGUAAUUUGCAGAGGAUGCUUCGGGUGUGGCCCCUGUCUAAGUGCCCUGGAACGGGCCGUCAGAGAGGGUGAGAAUCCCGUCUUGGGCAGGGUGCCCAUGCCCGUGUGAAGCUCCUUCGACGAGUCGAGUUGUUUGGGAAUGCAGCUCUAAAUGGGUGGUAAAUUUCAUCUAAAGCUAAAUACCGGCCGGAGACCGAUAGCGCACAAGUAGAGUGAUCGAAAGAUGAAAAGCACUUUGAAAAGAGAGUUAAACAGCACGUGAAAUUGUUGAAAGGGAAGCGCUUGCGACCAGACUCGGCCUCGGGGUUCAGCCAGCACUCGUGCUGGUGUACUUCCCCGGGGGCGGGCCAGCGUCGGUUUGGGCGGCCGGUCAAAGGCCCCAGGAAUGUAUCACCCUCCGGGGUUGUCUUAUAGCCUGGGGUGCAAUGCGGCCAGCCUGGACCGAGGAACGCGCUUCGGCACGGACGCUGGCAUAAUGGUUGCAAACGACCCGUCUUGAAACACGGACCAAGGAGUCUAACAUCUACGCGAGUGUUCGGGUGUCAAACCCGUACGCGCAGUGAAAGCGAACGGAGGUGGGAGCCCCCUCGGGGCGCACCAUCGACCGAUCCUGAUGUCUUCGGAUGGAUUUGAGUAAGAGCGUAGCUGUGGGGACCCGAAAGAUGGUGAACUAUGCCUGAAUAGGGCGAAGCCAGAGGAAACUCUGGUGGAGGCUCGCAGCGGUUCUGACGUGCAAAUCGAUCGUCAAAUUUGGGUAUAGGGGCGAAAGACUAAUCGAACCAUCUGGUAGCUGGUUCCUGCU